GGGCCCGUAGCUCAGCUGGAUAGAGCGGCUGACUACGGAUCAGCAGGUCGGGGGUUCGAAUCCUCCCGGGCCCG
This 74-nucleotide transfer RNA is filed under the name Thermus thermophilus. Its description in RNAcentral is "tRNA-Arg". It matches the Rfam family "tRNA". From Rfam's summary of the family: Transfer RNA (tRNA) molecules are approximately 80 nucleotides in length. RNAcentral also lists the same sequence under 1 other name. Lineage: Bacteria; Thermotogati; Deinococcota; Deinococci; Thermales; Thermaceae. The record is from RNAcentral.